UAGCAAUAGGUUGAUGGCGACCGGCGCACGGGUGAGUAACACGUAUCCAACCUACCGGUUAUUCCGGGAUAGCCUUUCGAAAGAAAGAUUAAUACCGGAUAGUAUAACGAGAAGGCAUCUUCUUGUUAUUAAAGAAUUUCGAUAACCGAUGGGGAUGCGUUCCAUUAGUUUGUUGGCGGGGUAACGGCCCACCAAGACAUCGAUGGAUAGGGGUUCUGAGAGGAAGGUCCCCCACAUUGGAACUGAGACACGGUCCAAACUCCUACGGGAGGCAGCAGUGAGGAAUAUUGGUCAAUGGACGAGAGUCUGAACCAGCCAAGUAGCGUGAAGGAUGACUGCCCUAUGGGUUGUAAACUUCUUUUAUAUGGGAAUAAAGUGAGCCACGUGUGGCUUUUUGUAUGUACCAUACGAAUAAGGAUCGGCUAACUCCGUGCCAGCAGCCGCGGUAAUACGGAGGAUCCGAGCGUUAUCCGGAUUUAUUGGGUUUAAAGGGAGCGUAGGCGGACUAUUAAGUCAGCUGUGAAAGUUUGCGGCUCAACCGUAAAAUUGCAGUUGAUACUGGUCGUCUUGAGUGCAGUAGAGGUAGGCGGAACUCGUGGUGUAGCGGUGAAAUGCUUAGAUAUCACGAAGAACUCCGAUUGCGAAGGCAGCUUACUGGACUGUAACUGACGCUGAUGCUCGAAAGUGUGGGUAUCAAACAGGAUUAGAUACCCUGGUAGUCCACACAGUAAACGAUGAAUACUCGCUGUUUGCGAUAUACAGCAAGCGGCCAAGCGAAAGCAUUA
RNAcentral lists this ribosomal RNA (785 nucleotides) under uncultured bacterium. Its description in RNAcentral is "bacterial SSU rRNA". It matches the Rfam family "Bacterial small subunit ribosomal RNA", at positions 77 to 862 of the family's 1533-position model. The record is from RNAcentral.